CCUACGGGAGGCUGCAGUGGGGAAUAUUGGACAAUGGGCGAAAGCCUGAUCCAGCCAUGCCGCGUGUGUGAAGAAGGCCUUCGGGUUGUAAAGCACUUUCAGUGGGGAAGAAAGCCUUGGGGCUAAUACCCUCGAGGAAGGACAUCACCCACAGAAGAAGCACCGGCUAACUCCGUGCCAGCAGCCGCGGUAAUACGGAGGGUGCGAGCGUUAAUCGGAAUUACUGGGCGUAAAGCGCGCGUAGGCGGUCUGAUAAGCCGGUUGUGAAAGCCCCGGGCUCAACCUGGGAACAGCAUCCGGAACUGUCAGGCUAGAGUGCAGGAGAGGAAGGUAGAAUUCCCGGUGUAGCGGUGAAAUGCGUAGAGAUCGGGAGGAAUACCAGUGGCGAAGGCGGCCUUCUGGACUGACACUGACGCUGAGGUGCGAAAGCGUGGGUAGCAAACAGGAUUAGAUACCCGAGUAGUC
This 465-nucleotide ribosomal RNA is filed under the name Vreelandella stevensii. RNAcentral's name for it is "partial 16S ribosomal RNA". It matches the Rfam family "Bacterial small subunit ribosomal RNA", at positions 338 to 795 of the family's 1533-position model. The record is from RNAcentral. Lineage: Bacteria; Pseudomonadati; Pseudomonadota; Gammaproteobacteria; Oceanospirillales; Halomonadaceae.